Transfer RNA from Felis catus (domestic cat), 85 nucleotides. It matches the Rfam family "tRNA". From Rfam's summary of the family: Transfer RNA (tRNA) molecules are approximately 80 nucleotides in length. Their secondary structure includes four short double-helical elements and three loops (D, anti-codon, and T loops). Lineage: Eukaryota; Metazoa; Chordata; Mammalia; Carnivora; Felidae. The record is from Rfam.
GCCUGGGUGGCUCAGUCGGUUGAGCGUCUGACUUCAGCUCAGGUCAGGAUCUUACGGUCUGUGAGUUCGAGCCCCGCGUUGGGCU